This is a long non-coding RNA of Sus scrofa (pig), 950 nucleotides long. RefSeq lists it as uncharacterized. The record is from RefSeq and is a predicted model, not a curated record. Lineage: Eukaryota; Metazoa; Chordata; Mammalia; Artiodactyla; Suidae.
GCUCGCUCCUUCGCGCUCUCCCCCUACCAAGUGGGCACACAACUUUUCGCUCCUCGCUCCCGAGCACGCCCCGCGCGUCUCCGCCGCCGGAGCCACUCAGUGAAGAUGCGCCCUUCGGAGCAGUGUGCGCGCGGCCCGCGGAGGGCCAGGCUCCCGGAUAAAAGAGCUGGCAGACGAUAAAAGGAUGCGGAGGAGCAAGCUGCAAGAUAAAUUGAUCCUGUCCAGAAGCCCCAUUUUUCAGAUGAGGAAACCGGAAACAUCUAGUCAGAGUUGAACCCAAUCUGGGAAACCCAUCGGAGCUCUUUGAGCACAGGUGGCUUUCUCUGCGGCAGCAGAGAAAGAUUCCCAAGGUUGCAGUGCUUGGUCCUUACAUCUUCUCUCCUAGGGAUUCUACAAAAGUAUGUUCCUUUAGUAUUCACAGAGAAGACCAAAGACACGUCACCAAUUCUCAUGCUUUGCACGCAUCAAGGAGAAGGCUCAGCACUCUGGAGUCAGUCUUGAGCACCUAAAGCAUCCUGUCAAAUUUUGAUGUGAUGGGAAACAGAAAAGGCAUUUUGCAUCUGGAUAUACAAAUCUCACCAGGUGCAGAUGAUUUGGAGAUGAAUGAGACGAGAUGUGCUCAGACGCUCUGUCAAGUGACAAAGAUGAUGUGAACACGUGAACUUGGAACAAGGACAGCUCUCAGAAGCUACAGCAGAAUGGAUGGAUGAAAACAGGGAAGGCUGAGGCAUCAGACUAUCCUUGGAAAUGUCCUUUAAUGGAACUUAACCUCUCUGGAUGUCCUUGUAACCUUCUGACCUUGGCAGCCACUUAACCUGGCUGACAAGUAUGUCAGGUGUGGCUGCAGCACAGACAACCUAGGAGGGUAUAAGGUGAGAGUCCUGGGUCCUGUGCUUGGAAGGUUAAAAUCGACCUGUUCCUGGGGCCUUAUCUGUUAGACUGAAAACACA